UACCGCAUACGUCCUACGGGAGAAAGCAGGGGACCUUCGGGCCUUGCGCUAUCAGAUGAGCCUACCUCGGAUUAGCUAGUUGGUGAGGUAAUGGCUCACCAAGGCGACGAUCCGUAACUGGUCUGAGAGGAUGAUCAGUCACACUGGAACUGAGACACGGUCCAGACUCCUACGGGAGGCAGCAGUGGGGAAUAUUGGACAAUGGGCGAAAGCCUGAUCCAGCCAUGCCGCGUGUGUGAAGAAGGUCUUCGGAUUGUAAAGCACUUUAAGUUGGGAGGAAGGGUUGUAGAUUAAUACUCUGCAAUUUUGACGUUACCGACAGAAUAAGCACCGGCUAACUCUGUGCCAGCAGCCGCGGUAAUACAGAGGGUGCAAGCGUUAAUCGGAAUUACUGGGCGUAAAGCGCGCGUAGGUGGUUUGUUAAGUUGGAUGUGAAAUGCCCGGGCUCAACCUGGGAACUGCAUUCAAAACUGACUGACUAGAGUAUGGUAGAGGGUGGUGGAAUUUCCUGUGUAGCGGUGAAAUGCGUAGAUAUAGGAAGGAACACCAGUGGCGAAGGCGACCACCUGGACUAAUACUGACACUGAGGUGCGAAAGCGUGGGGAGCAAACAGGAUUAGAUACCCUGGUAGUCCACGCCGUAAACGAUGUCAACUAGCCGUUGGAAGCCUUGGAGCUUUUAGUGGCG
RNAcentral lists this ribosomal RNA (687 nucleotides) under uncultured bacterium. RNAcentral describes it as "bacterial SSU rRNA". It matches the Rfam family "Bacterial small subunit ribosomal RNA", at positions 167 to 848 of the family's 1533-position model. The record is from RNAcentral.